RNAcentral lists this ribosomal RNA (497 nucleotides) under uncultured bacterium. RNAcentral describes it as "partial 16S ribosomal RNA". It matches the Rfam family "Bacterial small subunit ribosomal RNA", at positions 28 to 507 of the family's 1533-position model. The record is from RNAcentral.
GAUGAACGCUGGCGGCGUGCCUAAUACAUGCAAGUCGAGCGAACAGACGAGGAGCUUGCUCCUCUGACGUUAGCGGCGGACGGGUGAGUAACACGUGGAUAACCUACCUAUAAGACUGGGAUAACUUCGGGAAACCGGAGCUAAUACCGGAUAACAUGUUGAACCGCAUGGUUCAACAGCGAAAGACGGUCUUGCUGUCACUUAUAGAUGGAUCCGCGCCGCAUUAGCUAGUUGGUAAGGUAACGGCUUACCAAGGCAACGAUGCGUAGCCGACCUGAGAGGGUGAUCGGCAACACUGGAACUGUGACAAGGUCCAGACUCCUCCGGGAGGCAGAAGUAGGGAAUCUGCCGCAAUGGGCGAAAGCCUGACGGAGCAACGCCGCGUGAGUGAUGAAGGUCUUCGGAUCGUAAAACUCUGUUAUUAGGGAAGAACAAAUGUGUAAGUAACUAUGCACGUCUUGACGGUACCUAAUCAGAAAGCCACGGCUAACUACGUG